GACGAACGCUGGCGGCGUGCUUAACACAUGCAAGUCGAACGGAAAGGCCCUGCUUUUGUGGGUCGCUCGAGUGCCGAACGGGUGAGUAACACGCGUGUAACCUGCCCCUGACUUUGGGAUAACUUCACGAAACUCGGGCUCAUACCGGAUAGGAGCUCCUGCAGCAUGGUGUUCGUUGGUAAGUUUCGGCGGUUGGGGAUGGACUCGCGGCUUCCCAGCUUGUUGGGGGGGUAGUGGCUUUCCAAGCUUUCGACGGCUAGCCGGCCUGGGAGGGUGACCGGCCACAUUGGGACUGAGAUACGGCCCAGACUCCUACGGGAGGCAGAAGGGGGGAAUAUUGCGCAGUGGGCGGAAGCGUGAUGCAGCAACGCCGCGUGCGGGAUGACGGCCUUCGGGGUGUAAACAGCUUUCGCCUGUGACGAAGCGUGAGUGACGGUAAUGGGUAAAGAAGCACCGGCUAACUACGUG
Molecule: ribosomal RNA, 468 nt
Filed under: uncultured bacterium
Lineage: Bacteria
Description: partial 16S ribosomal RNA
Rfam family: Bacterial small subunit ribosomal RNA
Source: RNAcentral